GGGUGACUAGUCUAGUGGUCAGGACGCUUCGUUGUGGUCUCCAAUGGACCCCAACUGAACCGAAGAAACCCCGGUUCGAUUCCGGGGUCGCCCA
Molecule: non-coding RNA, 94 nt
Organism: Chaetomidium leptoderma
Lineage: Eukaryota; Fungi; Ascomycota; Sordariomycetes; Sordariales; Chaetomiaceae
Source: the annotation of a GenBank genome assembly